AGGGUUGUGGCUCAGUGGUAGAGCACUUGCCUAGCAUGCACAAGGCACUGGGUUCGAUUCCCAGGCACCAUA
Ictidomys tridecemlineatus (thirteen-lined ground squirrel) is the source of this 72-nucleotide non-coding RNA. NCBI's taxonomy places the organism in Eukaryota, Metazoa, Chordata, Mammalia, Rodentia, Sciuridae. The record is from Rfam.